Corythoichthys intestinalis (scribbled pipefish) is the source of this 542-nucleotide long non-coding RNA. RefSeq lists it as uncharacterized. The record is from RefSeq and is a predicted model, not a curated record. Lineage: Eukaryota; Metazoa; Chordata; Actinopteri; Syngnathiformes; Syngnathidae. The transcript is spliced from 2 exons.
AACUUCCGUUUUAGAAUUUCUCCAUCCAAAACAACAGUGGAGGUGGAGUAACAUUACUCAUCAAAAUCCCUUAAGGACAAUUUGGAAAUACCGCAUCUAUCCCCCAUAAUCAAGACAGAUGUGGAACGAAGCUCGUGCCACCAUAAAGACCAGGUUUUUUUGUAGCCAUGUUGACGCUGUGUUAUGGAAGGUGGAAAACACCGUUAGGCAAGAGAAGAUAAGUCGAUGUGCCUCACUUACUGUACGUUGAUCAACAUAUAUUGUUGUUGAGAGAAAUGGGGGAGGAAAUGUUUUGUAUUCAUAAAUGUGUCCUCAGUUGAUGUGGAAAUAAUGCUCCUAUUGCUUGUUAUUAUUGACAUAUUAACUUUUCGCCACAAGAUGGCAGGAUGGGACUUAAUUGUCUAAAGUGCUACUUUUAUUACUUCUUCUUGUUUGACUUUGAUGACUUUGAUUUGUGGGAUUGCCUGUGAAGACAGCAAUGAGAGAGGAUGUAUCCGCAUGUCGAUGGAAAUUAAACACGCCAAGUUUUGGCUAAAAGACAA